CCCCCACCCCUUCCCAGAGACCCCCAGCAGCCAAUCCCCUCCCUCAGACUGUGCUGCAGGCAUUCGGCUCUCUCUAGGACCCAGCGCAGCUUUUACAUGCUCCACUGCUUGCCAUCUGUCUGGCAGAGUGUGUGGUGCCCCUGGAAGAGCGGUGCCCUACGCGACUGCCUAUUCUGUCUAUGGCUAAGGACGGCCCUGCUUAGACACAAAAGGAUUGGCUGGCAGCGUGGGUAUUUGGGCUCAUUAGACAGACAACAUAUCUGGAUUCUUCUAUGGGCCCCUCAUCACCACAGCAUUGGAGCAACUGGAUAUACUCCAUACCCAUCCAAAAUUAUGAACAAACAGGAAAAUGAAGAUGAAGACGACGGAGUUAGCUGUAGAAGCCAAUAUUUUAAGUUUCUCAUGUUAACCUGGCUGACAUAGUCGGUUUAAUUAUUGUUUUUUAAAUAUUUCAUU
Molecule: long non-coding RNA, 456 nt
Organism: Trachemys scripta elegans
Lineage: Eukaryota; Metazoa; Chordata; Testudines; Emydidae
Exons: 3
Source: RefSeq, a predicted model, not a curated record